Molecule: long non-coding RNA, 424 nt
Organism: Amphiprion ocellaris (clown anemonefish)
Lineage: Eukaryota; Metazoa; Chordata; Actinopteri; Pomacentridae
Source: Ensembl
UGACACGUGACUUGGUGCAACACGUGAAAUGCACUCUGAUCAGAUCAGGCGGGCUUUUUAAACAUGUCUCCGGUUUUUAACACGGCUCCGCUGUGAAGACUUCUUACGUGGAUUAACAGCCGGAGGUGCACCUGUCUGUUGUGGAAGUCCGAUGCUUCAUCAAGUGAGACCCCCUACUGUGGCCCUCACUGCCUCCCCGACAGGAGGGUCACAGUGACACAAGAGUGUUGGGCCAGAUGCCGAGUGAUCCCCUCUGAUGCACCUCCGCUUCCAAAAGCCACAUCCAUCGCCACUAUAGGACAAUCAGCCCUAGAACUCAUUGAAAUACCACACACCAAACCUGAAUUACCAGCAUUGCCCGCUCUCCUACUUGCAGUUUUUUUUUCUUCUUCUUAUUCUAUCAACAACAGCAAGUGUAAAUCUC